Medicago truncatula (barrel medic) is the source of this 114-nucleotide microRNA precursor. It matches the Rfam family "MIR2593 microRNA precursor family". NCBI's taxonomy places the organism in Eukaryota, Viridiplantae, Streptophyta, Magnoliopsida, Fabales, Fabaceae. The record is from Rfam.
UUAUAAGCAAAAUUAACUUUUUAGGUUCAUUCAAUUAAUGAUGUAUGUGGUUCAUAUUAUGGACCACGUACAUCAUUAAUUGAAUGAACCUAAAAAAAUCAAUUUUGCUCAUAA